Molecule: ribosomal RNA, 507 nt
Filed under: uncultured bacterium
Lineage: Bacteria
Description: partial 16S ribosomal RNA
Rfam family: Bacterial small subunit ribosomal RNA
Source: RNAcentral
AUUGAACGCUGGCGGCAGGCCUAACACAUGCAAGUCGAGCGGCAGCGGAAGGAAGCUUGCUUCCUUGCCGGCGAGCGGCGGACGGGUGAGUAAGGUAUGGGGAUCUGGCCGAAGGCGGGGGAUAACCACUGGAAACGGUGGCUAAUACCGCAUAAUCUCUAAGGAGCAAAGUGGGGGACCGUUCAGGCCUCACACCUUCGGAUGAACCCAUAUGUAAUUAGCUAGUAGGUGGGGUAAUGGCUCACCUAGGCGACGAUCUCUAGCUGGUCUGAGAGGAUGAUCAGCCACACUGGGACUGAGACACGGCCCAGACUCCUGCGGGAGGCAGCAGUGGGGAAUAUUGCACAAUGGGCGCAAGCCUGAUGCAGCCAUGCCGCGUGUAUGAAGAAGGCCUUCGGGUUGUAAAGUACUUUCAGUCGUGAGGAAGGUGUUAAGGUUAAUAACCUUAGCAAUUGACGUUAGCGACAGAAGAAGCACCGGCUAACUCCGUGCCAGCCGCCGCAGUAA